This 62-nucleotide transfer RNA is filed under the name Planorbarius corneus. RNAcentral's name for it is "tRNA-Val". Lineage: Eukaryota; Metazoa; Mollusca; Gastropoda; Planorbidae. The record is from RNAcentral.
GAAAAUAAAGUAUAGUUGUAUAUUUUAGUUACAUUAAAAAGGUCUAUUUUAUAGUAUUUUCA